Molecule: non-coding RNA, 46 nt
Organism: Schistosoma mansoni
Lineage: Eukaryota; Metazoa; Platyhelminthes; Trematoda; Strigeidida; Schistosomatidae
Source: Rfam
GCUUUGCUGAGGAAUCCCACAAUAGGAUGAAACGACCGUCCAGUGC